This 1461-nucleotide ribosomal RNA is filed under the name Triticum aestivum (bread wheat). Its description in RNAcentral is "partial small subunit ribosomal RNA". The record is from RNAcentral. Lineage: Eukaryota; Viridiplantae; Streptophyta; Magnoliopsida; Poales; Poaceae.
AUGGACUCCAACGCCAACGGCGGGCGCAGCACGAUGGUAGGGGAGAUGGAGAGCAGCUUGGAGCGGGUCAGGCGGCAGCUCUCCUCCACCUCCACCCGCCAUAUCCUCCAGGGUCCUCUCUUGAAGCGAUCCGAUACACUAAGGAAAUGGAAUGAGCGGUGGGUUAUACUUGAUCCAGCUACUGGAAAGAUGGAAUACAAGGUUCGUAGAAGUGAUACAACUGUGAGGGGAAUAAUUGUGUUCGAUUCAACAAGCACCGCCACUUUGUCACCUACCAACUUUCAUGGACUGCCAAAAUAUGAAGGAUGUUGUGUAUAUAUUGGGACUCCACAAAAAAAGGAGUACUUUCUUUGUGCAGAAACUCCCAGCGCUGCAAGAGCAUGGGUAUCUACUUUACAUGCAACUCAAUUGGUCCUACAGGCUCAUAAACAGGCGGUGGAUUCAUUGGGUGGAAAUGGUUCUGCAAAACUGGGAACAGUUGCUACUGUUGUGGCUGUGGCCAAUGCAACUGCGAUUGAAGCAUCCAAAGAGGUAGAAGCAGCGAUGAAGAUCUCCCUGCGGGCAGCUUUAGGCUCAACUACAAAUAAACUUAGUAAAGGUCAAUUAGAUGAUCUCACAAUCAUGAUGGAGACCCUUCGAGUUAAAGAUGAUGAACUGCACCAGCUAUUGCAGGAUAUCCGUGCACGGGAUUCCACCAUCAGGGAGAUUACAGAUAAAUUACAGGAGACUGCUGAGGCAGCUGAAACUGCUGCUUCUGCUGCUCAUGCAAUUGAUGAAGCAAGAAGAUUUUUAUCUUCAGAACUUGAACGCCUGAAACAAGAUCAGGAAAAUCAAGUUGAAUUGUCCUUGCUUAGGCUAAGGGAAUCAGAAGAAAAGUCAAAGCUUCUUGCUGAAGAAAGAGAGCAUUUACUCAAGGAAAGAGAUUCUGCUCUUCAAGAAGCUCAGAUGUGGCGCUCUGAACUUGGAAAAGCUAGAGGAAAUGCUGUCAUUUUAGAAGCAGCUGUCGUGAGAGCUGAAGAGAAAGCUAGGGUUUCAGCAGCCGAUGCUGACAUGCGAAUAAAGGAAGCUGUGAGUAAGCUCGAGUCUGCUGCGAAAGAAAAGGAAGAACUCUUAGCUCUCGUGGAUGCUCUAAAAUCACAAAUACAAAGGCAAGAGACUAGCACAAAACAAAUCUGUGAGGAAAGGUCAGAGCUAUGCUCUACUUCAAAGCACAUGGACAUGGACGACGAUAACGUGGAUAAGGCUUGUUUAAGCGAUACAGACCUGAUACCUAUUGCGGAGAACAUAGUCGAGUUGGAUGACGAGGGAGUCGAUAUACGUACGAUCGGGGACACGGAGUGGGAAAAUCCUCAUUCCUCUGAAGUAUCUGAUGUAAGGGAGGUGACCACAGAAGCUGAAGAAAACAGCUUGGAUAUUCCUGUUGAUAGCCAGCCAGUUGCUGACGAUACUUUCCAAGCCUAG